AAUAGAUACCCAGGUAGUCCACGCCGUAAACGAUGAAUACUAGGUGUAGGGGUUGUCAUGACCUCUGUGCCGCCGCUAACGCAUUAAGUAUUCCGCCUGGGGAGUACGGUCGCAAGAUUAAAACUCAAAGGAAUUGACGGGGGCCCGCACAAGCAGCGGAGCAUGUGGUUUAAUUCGAAGCAACGCGAAGAACCUUACCUAGACUUGACAUCUCCUGCAUUACUCUUAAUCGGGGAAGUUCCGUUCGGGGACAGGAAGACAGGUGGUGCAUGGUUGUCGUCAGCUCGUGUCGUGAGAUGUUGGGUUAAGUCCCGCAACGAGCGCAACCCUUAUUGUUAGUUGCUACCAUUUAGUUGAGCACUCUAGCGAGACUGCCCGGGUUAACCGGGAGGAAGGUGGGGAUGACGUCAAAUCAUCAUGCCCCUUAUGUCUAGGGCUACACACGUGCUACAAUGGCAAGUACAAAGAGAAGCAAAGACCGCGAGGUGGAGCAAAAACUCAAAAAACUUGUCUCAGUUCGGAUUGUAGGCUGAAAACUCGCCUAC
Molecule: ribosomal RNA, 545 nt
Filed under: uncultured bacterium
Lineage: Bacteria
Description: bacterial SSU rRNA
Rfam family: Bacterial small subunit ribosomal RNA
Source: RNAcentral